This 271-nucleotide ribosomal RNA is filed under the name uncultured bacterium. Its description in RNAcentral is "partial 16S ribosomal RNA". It matches the Rfam family "Bacterial small subunit ribosomal RNA", at positions 85 to 354 of the family's 1533-position model. The record is from RNAcentral.
UAUUAUUUUAGCGGCGGACGGGUGAGUAACGUGUGGGUAACCUGCCUUUUACUGUGGAAUAAUCGUUGGAAACGACGACUAAUACCGCAUACGAUUUUCUGAAGGCAUCUUCGGAAAAAGAAAGGAAAUAUUCGGUAAAAGAUGGGCCCGCAUCUGAUUAGCUAGUUGGUGAGAUAAUAGCCCACCAAGGCAACGAUCAGUAGCCGACCUGAGAGGGUGACCGGCCACAUUGGGACUGAGACACGGCCCAAACUCCUACGGAAGGCAGCAG